GAUGAAGAACGCAGCGAAAUGCGAUACGUAAUGUGAAUUGCAGAAUUCAGUGAAUCAUCGAAUCUUUGAACGCAUAUUGCGCUCUUUGGUAUUCCGAAGAGCAUGCUUGUUUGAGUAUCAGUAAACACCUCAAAGCUUUUGGAUUUUUUAAUCGAAAAGCUUUGGACUUGAGCAAUCCCAACACCAAUCUUUUUGAGAUCGGUGGCGGGUUGCUUGAAAUGCAGGUGCAGCUGGACAUUCUCCUGAGCUAAAAGCAUAUUCAUUUAGUCCCGUCAAACGGAUUAUUACUUUUGCUGCAGCUAACAUAAAGGGAGUUUGACCGUAUUGGCUGACUGAUGCAGGAUUUCACAAGGGUCGGGAACGAUUCUUGUUAAACUCGAUCUCAAAUCAAGUAAGACUACCCGCUGAACUUAAGCAUAUCAAUAAGCGGAGGA
This 434-nucleotide unclassified non-coding RNA is filed under the name soil metagenome. Its description in RNAcentral is "partial contains 5.8S ribosomal RNA, internal transcribed spacer 2, and large subunit ribosomal RNA". The stretch from base 1 to 120 matches the Rfam family "5.8S ribosomal RNA", at positions 35 to 154 of the family's 154-position model. The record is from RNAcentral.